ACACACUAGCACGUCAGGUCAAGGUGUAGCUCAUGAGAUGGAUAGCGCGGACCACAAUACCACAACGCACAAAAAUCUURUUGAAACAUAAGAUGGAAGACGAAUUUAGCAGUAAGCGAAUAGAAU
RNAcentral lists this ribosomal RNA (126 nucleotides) under Draco maculatus. RNAcentral's name for it is "partial small subunit ribosomal RNA". Lineage: Eukaryota; Metazoa; Chordata; Lepidosauria; Squamata; Agamidae. The record is from RNAcentral.